This 406-nucleotide ribosomal RNA is filed under the name uncultured bacterium. Its description in RNAcentral is "partial 16S ribosomal RNA". It matches the Rfam family "Bacterial small subunit ribosomal RNA", at positions 30 to 526 of the family's 1533-position model. The record is from RNAcentral.
AUUGAACGCUGGCGGCAGGCCUAACACAUGCACGUCGAACGAGUGGCGGACGUGUGAGUAAUGUCUGGGAAUCUGCCUGAUGGAGGGGGAUAACUAAUGGAAACGGUAGCUAAUACCGCAUACCAUCGGAUGUGCCCAGAUUGGAUUAGCUAGUAGGUGGGGUAAAGGCUCACCUAGGAGACGAUCCCUCGCUGGUCUGAGAGGAUGACCAGCAACACUGGAAUGGAGACACGGUCAAGACUCCUACGGGGGGCAGCAGUGGGGAAUAUUGCACAAUGGGCGCAGGCCUGAUGCAGCCAUGCCGCGUGUAUGAGGAAGGCCUUCGGGUUGUAAAGGACUUUCAGCGGGGAGGCGUUACCCGCAGAAGAAGCACCGGCUAACUCCGUGCCAGCAGCCGCGGUAAUAC